This 253-nucleotide ribosomal RNA is filed under the name uncultured bacterium. RNAcentral describes it as "partial 16S ribosomal RNA". It matches the Rfam family "Bacterial small subunit ribosomal RNA", at positions 524 to 776 of the family's 1533-position model. The record is from RNAcentral.
UACGAAGGUGUCGAACGUUGUCCGGAAUUACUGGGCGUAAAGGGUGCGUAGGCGGCUAGGUAAGUCAGAUGUGAAAGCUCUGGGCUCAACCCAGGAAUUGCAUUUGAAACUGCUUAGCUUGAGUUCGGUAGAGGAGGGCGGAAUUCCUGGUGUAGCGGUGAAAUGCGUAGAUAUCAGGAGGAACACCUGUGGCGAAGGCGGCUCUCUGGUCCGAAACUGACGCUGAGGCACGAAAGCUAGGGGAGCAAACAGG